AGGGAAGUUCUUCUGAAGCUGGGGAGGCUGGCGUUUGAACAUCUGGAGAAAGGAAACAUCAUGUUCUACCAAGAAGACCUGGAGCAGUGUGGUCUGGAUGUGACAGAGGCCUCGGUGUACUCAGGAGUUUGUACAGAGAUCUUCAAAAGAGAGUGUGUGAUCUUCCAGAAACCAGUCUACUGCUUUGUUCAUCUGAGCAUUCAGGAGUUUCUGGCUGCUGUCUACAUGUUCCACUGUUUCACCAAUAGGAACACAGAGGUGCUGAAGAACUUCCUCGGGAACAAAUAUAAAGAGUCAUCGUUGGAUGAUUUUCUGAAGCAAGUCAUGAGAAAAUCCCUCCAGAGUCAAAAUGGCCACCUGGACCUGUUUGUUCGCUUCCUUCAUGGCCUCUGUCUGGAGUCCAACCAGAGACUCUUAGUAGGUCUUCUGGGUCAGACAGAGAACAGUCCAGGAAUCAUCCAGAGAGUCACCAAGAACCUGAGGAAAGUGAACAGUGAUAAAAUCUCUCCUGACAGAAGCCUCAACAUCUUCCACUGUCUGAUGGAGAUGAACGACCUCUCAGUACACCAGGAGAUCCAAAAGUUCCUGAAGUCAGAGAAAGGAUCAAAGAAGAAACUCACUGAGAUCCAGUGCUCAGCUCUGGCCUUCAUGCUGCAGAUGUCAGAGGAGGUUCUGGAUGAGUUGGACCUGCAGAAGUACAACACAUCAAAACGGGGACGACUGAGACUGAUUCCAGCUGUGAGGAACUGCAGGAAGGCUCGACUGACUCGGUGUGGACUCUCAGAGACUCACUGUGAAGUUGUAGCUUCAGCUCUGAAGUCCAACCCCUCCCAUCUGACAGAGCUGGACAUGAGUGAGAACAAGCUGCAGGAUUCAGCAGUGAAGCUUCUGUGUGCUGGACUGGAGAGUCCAAACUGUCGACUGGAGACUCUGAGACUGAGUGGCUGUAACCUCUCAGAGAGAAGCUGUGAAGCUCUGUGCUCAGUUCUCAGCUCCUGUAGCCUGAGAGAGCUAGACCUGUGUAACAACAACCUGCAAGAUUCAGGAGUGAAGCUUCUGUCUGCUGCACUGCAGAGUCCACAUUGUACACUGGAAAUUCUGAGACUGAGUGGCUGCAACCUCUCAGAGAGAAGCUGUGAAGCUCUGUGCCCAGUUCUCAGCUUGCAGUCCUCUAGUCUGAGAGAGCUGGACCUGAGUCACAGUGACCUGGGGGAGUCAGGAGCGACACUUAUGUCUGCCGCACUGCAGAGUCCACACUGUAAAUUGGAAUCUCUAAGCCUGUCAGGCUGUCUGAUCUCAGAGGAAGGCUGUACUUCUCUGGCCUCAGCUCUGAGCUCCAACCCCUCCCAUCUGAGAGAGCUGGACCUGAGCUACAAUCAUCCAGGUGACUCAGGAAUGAAGCUGCUAUCGGCUGGACUGAAGGAUCCAGGCUGGAGAAUCGACACAAACACAGUGAACACAAAGCUCCAACUGUCUGACAACAACAGGAAGGUGACACAUGUGAGGAAGGUUCAGUCAUAUCCUGAUCAUCCAGACAGAUUUGAUGUUGUUCCUCAGCUGCUGUGUAGAAAUGGUCUGACUGGUCGCUGUUACUGGGAGGUCGAGUGGAGAGGAAGAGUUUGUAUAUCAGUGAGUUACAGAAGCAUCAGAAGGAAAGGAGGCAGUGCUGACUGUUUGUUUGGAUACAAUGAUCAGUCCUGGAGUCUAAUCUGCUCUGAUGAUGGUCCUCAGUCUGUCUGGCACAAUAACAGCUACACACCCAUCUCCUCCUCCUCCUCUGUCUCUAACAGAGUAGCAGUGUAUGUGGACUGUCCUGCUCGCACUCUGUCCUUCUACAGAGUCUCCUCUGACACUCUGAUCCACCUCCACACCUUCAACACCACAUUCACUCAAACUCUUUAUCCUGGGUUUACACUCUGGUCUCCUGGUUCCUCAGUGUCCCUGUGCUGA
This is a long non-coding RNA of Oreochromis niloticus (Nile tilapia), 1950 nucleotides long. RefSeq annotates it as NACHT, LRR and PYD domains-containing protein 12. The record is from RefSeq and is a predicted model, not a curated record. The annotation marks the transcript as partial. The transcript is spliced from 6 exons. Lineage: Eukaryota; Metazoa; Chordata; Actinopteri; Cichliformes; Cichlidae.